Molecule: non-coding RNA, 31 nt
Filed under: Mus musculus (house mouse)
Lineage: Eukaryota; Metazoa; Chordata; Mammalia; Rodentia; Muridae
Source: RNAcentral
UGGCCAGCAACACCUGAGUGCCACUGGAUUC